Hibiscus syriacus is the source of this 936-nucleotide long non-coding RNA. RefSeq lists it as uncharacterized. The transcript is spliced from 4 exons. The record is from RefSeq and is a predicted model, not a curated record. NCBI's taxonomy places the organism in Eukaryota, Viridiplantae, Streptophyta, Magnoliopsida, Malvales, Malvaceae.
CUGCUGCGUCGCACAGGAAUUCUCUGAGUGAAAACAAUCAAGUACGCAGAGAAUCGCCCAAUCAUGAGCGGACAUCCAACAGUGAAAUGGGCACAGAGAUCAGAUGAAGUAUUCAUAACUAUUGAGCUUCCUGAUGCUCAGGAUGUGAAGCUUAGACUGAAGCCCGAAGGAAAAUUCUUAUUCUCUGCCACAAGUGGGAAGACAAAAUUCCCUACGAAGUCGACUUUGAUCUGCACGACAAAGUUGACGUCGAUGUAUGUUGGCAGCUGAAGUCUCGAUUCUUAGAAUCAACCCUUAAUACAUACUCUGCCUAUAUAGUUUAAUGUGUGUCAUUGUGAUCUGGUUUGCAGGGAAGCAGGGCUAGUGUUGGAAAUAGAAAUAUCACUAACCCCGUGAAAAAGGCCGAGAGCAAGUAGUGGAACAGAUUGCUGAAACAGGAAGAGAAACCCCCUGUGUUUUUUAAAGUCGAUUGGGAUUGAUGGGUCGACGAAGAUGAGGAGGAUCAGGACACUAAGCCCGGACCUGACAUGGACUUUGGCGACUUUGACUUCUCCGUGAGUGGCAGUUUUAUCACCUAAUAUUUACGAUUCGAGUGUCUCUAAAUUGGACUUGACACCAUUUGCUUCUAUUUCCUUCUUGUUACAGAAGAUAAACAUGGGUGGUGGUGAGGGCUUUGAUAUGGCUGAAGGGGAGGAUGAUGACGACAAUGAUACAGAAGAUGAAACUGUGAAAGAAUUAUCAGCUUCAAAGAAAGAUGCCUCAUUGUCCGGUGCUGCACCUGAAGUCAAAAGCGUUUAGAGCUGCAUGUUUCGUCUCGCAGUCGUAUAUCUUGCCAAGUCGGAUGCGUUAAGCUACAUAACAAUAUUAUUUAUGCUCUUAUUUUUAUUUUCGCUUGUUGAUCUCCCUUUCUAGUGGAAGAGUCUGGUCAUUAUUAGA